Molecule: long non-coding RNA, 724 nt
Organism: Gymnodraco acuticeps
Lineage: Eukaryota; Metazoa; Chordata; Actinopteri; Perciformes; Bathydraconidae
Exons: 3
Source: RefSeq, a predicted model, not a curated record
AAUUAUGGGUUAUUUGGGUACUGUAAACACACUGGUGGGUUGUUCAUGCUGGGUCAAAGGGGUUAUUAGGGCUUCAAUUGCAGUUGAACACCCGCCUGGGUUAUUUUUAACCCAGAGGUUGCUUUAUUCAUUUUCCCACUUCUGAAUCAUUCUGGAAUCAUCUUUUUCAAAACACAAGGUAUGUAACCUAUAUUUUACCUAUAUUUAUAUAACUAUACAAUUCUGUAACCUAUAUUUUUUUAAUGAGUUGUGAUAACAGUUCAAUAGGGAUCUUUAGGCAUUUAACAGACUGUGCAAAGUAUAACAUUAGCAGUUAACGUCGGCUACAAAUGUUUUACAUUUCUGUCAAUGAGUGAAAGAGCCUUGAAUUUACGUUGUGAUGCUAUGAAUUAUUAUUUUACAAAGACGUGUGUUCUACUAGUAGCUAUAAAUGGGUCUGAACUAUAGCUUUGGAUUUGUGUGCAAAAGUAUUAGAUGUACAAUAAGGCAGUAUAAAUCAGAUGGCUUUUACGUCACAACUCUCUUUCCCAGCAUGCAGCUCGGGCGCGGGCUUUCACACACACGGACAGACAGACGACAAAGAAGCUCAUUGAUGUAGUAGAGGGUUUCACCAUGGACACGUUUGUCACAGAGACGUUGACUGCAUGGCAGCUUGAGAACUUGAUUGACACAUUUAAAGGCCAUCCACAGACACAAAGAAAGCCCUUGCCGUGGCAUUGGUGUA